This 248-nucleotide ribosomal RNA is filed under the name uncultured bacterium. RNAcentral's name for it is "partial 16S ribosomal RNA". It matches the Rfam family "Bacterial small subunit ribosomal RNA", at positions 337 to 577 of the family's 1533-position model. The record is from RNAcentral.
GCCUAAGGGGCGCAGCAGUAGGGAAUCUUCCACAAUGGACGAAAGUCUGAUGGAGCAACGCCGCGUGAGUGAAGAAGGGUUUCGGCUCGUAAAGCUCUGUUGGUAGUGAAGAAAGAUAGAGGUAGUAACUGGCCUUUAUUUGACGGUAAUUACUUAGAAAGUCACGGCUAACUACGUGCCAGCAGCCGCGGUAAUACGUAGGGGGCAAGCGGUGUCCGGAUUUAUUGGGCGGAAAGCGAGUGCAGGCG